ACGACGCUGGCGGCGUGCUUAACACAUGCAAGUCGAACGGUGACGAGGAGCUUGCUCCUCUGAUCAGUGGCGAACGGGUGAGUAACACGUGAGCAACCUGCCCCAGACUCUGGGAUAACAGUUGGAAACAGCUGCUAAUACCGGAUACGAGACGGAGAGGCAUCUCUACCGUCUGGAAAGUUUUUCGGUCUGGGAUGGACUCGCGGCCUAUCAGCUAGUUGGUGAGGUAAUGGCUCACCAAGGCGACGACGGGUAGCCGGCCUGAGAGGGCGACCGGCCACACUGGGACUGAGACACGGCCCAGACUCCUACGGGAGGCAGCAGUGGGGAAUAUUGCACAAUGGGCGAAAGCCUGAUGCAGCGACGCCGCGUGAGUGAGGAAGGUUUUCGGACUGUAAAGCUCUGUCGAGCGGGAAGAAGUGUACCAUGGCUAAUAUCCAUGAUAUUUGACGGUACCGCUAGAGGAAGCACCGGCUAACUCCGUG
RNAcentral lists this ribosomal RNA (485 nucleotides) under uncultured bacterium. RNAcentral describes it as "bacterial SSU rRNA". It matches the Rfam family "Bacterial small subunit ribosomal RNA", at positions 33 to 507 of the family's 1533-position model. The record is from RNAcentral.